RNAcentral lists this ribosomal RNA (948 nucleotides) under uncultured bacterium. RNAcentral's name for it is "bacterial SSU rRNA". It matches the Rfam family "Bacterial small subunit ribosomal RNA", at positions 8 to 954 of the family's 1533-position model. The record is from RNAcentral.
AGAGUUUGAUCCUGGCUCAGGACGAACGCUGGCGGCGGGCUUAACACAUGCAAGUCGAACGAUAAGCUCCAGCUUGCUGGAGUGGACAGUGGCGAACGGGUGAGUAACGCGUAGGCAACCUGCCCUUUAGUGGGGAAUAACCCCGGGAAACCGGAGCUAAUACCGCAUAAUAUCCUGGUACCGCAUGGCACCGGGAUCAAAGCCUUCGGGCGCUAUUGGAUGGGCCUGCGUCGGAUUAGGUAGUUGGUGAGGUAGAAGCUCACCAAGCCGACGAUCCGUAGCUGGUCUGAGAGGAUGAUCAGCCACACUGGCACUGAGACACGGGCCAGACUCCUACGGGAGGCAGCGGUGAGGAAUAUUGCGCAAUGGAGGAAACUCUGACGCAGCCACGCCGCGUGAAGGAUGACACCCCUAUGGGGCGUAAACUUCUUUUAUGAGAGAAGAAAACCUGACUCGGUCAGGUCUGACGGUAUCUUAUGAAUAAGCACCGGCUAACUCCGUGCCAGCAGCCGCGGUAAUACGGAGGGUGCAAGCGUUGUCCGGAAUCACUGGGUGUAAAGGGUGUGUAGGCGGGACCGUAAGUCAGAGGUGAAAUCCUGCAGCUCAACUGUAGAACUGCCUUUGAUACUGCGGCUCUUGAAUCUCGGAGAGGUCAUUAGAAUUCGUGGUGUAGCGGUGAAAUGCGUAGAUAUCACGAGGAAUACCAGAGGCGUAGGCGGAUGACUGGACGAGUAUUGACGCUGAGGCACGAAAGCGUGGGGAGCAAACAGGAUUAGAUACCCUGGUAGUCCACGCUGUAAACGAUGAAUGCUCGGUGUUGCCCUGAUUUUUCGGGGCAGUGCCUAAGCUAACGCGUUAAGCAUUCCACCUGGGAGUACGCUCGCAAGAGUGAAACUCAAGGGAAUUGACGGGGGCCCGCACAAGCGGUGAGCAUGUGGUUUAAUUCGA